GGGUUGUGAGGUUAAGCGACUAAGCGUACACGGUGGAUGCCCUGGCAGUCAGAGGCGAUGAAGGACGUGCUAAUCUGCGAAAAGCGCCGGCGAGGUGAUAUGAACCUUUGACCCGGCGAUGUCCGAAUGGGGAAACCCAGUGUGUUCCGACACACUAUCGUUAACUGAAUACAUAGGUUAACGAGGCGAACCGGGGGAACUGAAACAUCUAAGUACCCCGAGGAAAAGAAAUCAACCGAGAUUCCCCCAGUAGCGGCGAGCGAACGGGGAGCAGCCCAGAGUCUGAAUCAGCUUGUGUGUUAGUGGAAGCGUCUGGAAAGUCGCACGGUACAGGGUGAAAGUCCCGUACACGAAAGCACACAGGCUGUGAACUCGAAGAGUAGGGCGGGACACGUGGUAUCCUGUCUGAAUAUGGGGGGACCAUCCUCCAAGGCUAAAUACUCCUGACUGACCGAUAGUGAACCAGUACCGUGAGGGAAAGGCGAAAAGAACCCCGGCGAGGGGAGUGAAAAAGAACCUGAAACCGUGUACGUACAAGCAGUGGGAGCCUCUUUUAUGGGGUGACUGCGUACCUUUUGUAUAAUGGGUCAGCGACUUAUAUUCUGUAGCAAGGUUAACCGUAUAGGGGAGCCGAAGGGAAACCGAGUCUUAACUGGGCGUUAAGUUGCAGGGUAUAGACCCGAAACCCGGUGAUCUAGCCAUGGGCAGGUUGAAGGUUGGGUAACACUAACUGGAGGACCGAACCGACUAAUGUUGAAAAAUUAGCGGAUGACUUGUGGCUGGGGGUGAAAGGCCAAUCAAACCGGGAGAUAGCUGGUUCUCCCCGAAAGCUAUUUAGGUAGCGCCUCGUGAACUCAUCUUCGGGGGUAGAGCACUGUUUCGGCUAGGGGGCCAUCCCGGCUUACCAACCCGAUGCAAACUACGAAUACCGAAGAAUGUUAUCACGGGAGACACACGGCGGGUGCUAACGUCCGUCGUGAAGAGGGAAACAACCCAGACCGCCAGCUAAGGUCCCAAAGUCAUGGUUAAGUGGGAAACGAUGUGGGAAGGCACAGACAGCCAGGAUGUUGGCUUAGAAGCAGCCAUCAUUUAAAGAAAGCGUAAUAGCUCACUGGUCGAGUCGGCCUGCGCGGAAGAUGUAACGGGGCUAAACCAUGCACCGAAGCUGCGGCAGCGACGCUUAUGCGUUGUUGGGUAGGGGAGCGUUCUGUAAGCCGUUGAAGGUGUCCUGUGAGGGGUGCUGGAGGUAUCAGAAGUGCGAAUGCUGACAUAAGUAACGAUAAAGCGGGUGAAAAGCCCGCUCGCCGGAAGACCAAGGGUUCCUGUCCAACGUUAAUCGGGGCAGGGUGAGUCGACCCCUAAGGCGAGGCCGAAAGGCGUAGUCGAUGGGAAACAGGUUAAUAUUCCUGUACUUGGUGUUACUGCGAAGGGGGGACGGAGAAGGCUAUGUUAGCCGGGCGACGGUUGUCCCGGUUUAAGCAUGUAGGCGGAGGUUCCAGGUAAAUCCGGUUCCUUAUUAACGCUGAGGUGUGAUGACGAGGCACUACGGUGCUGAAGUAACAAAUGCCCUGCUUCCAGGAAAAGCCUCUAAGCAUCAGGUAACAUCAAAUCGUACCCCAAACCGACACAGGUGGUCAGGUAGAGAAUACCAAGGCGCUUGAGAGAACUCGGGUGAAGGAACUAGGCAAAAUGGUGCCGUAACUUCGGGAGAAGGCACGCUGAUAUGUAGGUGAAGCCCCUGCGGGUGGAGCUGAAAUCAGUCGAAGAUACCAGCUGGCUGCAACUGUUUAUUAAAAACACAGCACUGUGCAAACACGAAAGUGGACGUAUACGGUGUGACGCCUGCCCGGUGCCGGAAGGUUAAUUGAUGGGGUUAGCGGUAACGCGAAGCUCUUGAUCGAAGCCCCGGUAAACGGCGGCCGUAACUAUAACGGUCCUAAGGUAGCGAAAUUCCUUGUCGGGUAAGUUCCGACCUGCACGAAUGGCGUAAUGAUGGCCAGGCUGUCUCCACCCGAGACUCAGUGAAAUUGAACUCGCUGUGAAGAUGCAGUGUACCCGCGGCAAGACGGAAAGACCCCGUGAACCUUUACUAUAGCUUGACACUGAACACUGGUCCUUGAUGUGUAGGAUAGGUGGGAGGCUUUGAAGCGUGGACGCCAGUCUGCGUGGAGCCAACCUUGAAAUACCACCCUUUAAUGGCUGGUGUUCUAACGUAGACCCGUGAUCCGGGUUGCGGACAGUGUCUGGUGGGUAGUUUGACUGGGGCGGUCUCCUCCCAAAGAGUAACGGAGGAGCACGAAGGUUAGCUAAUCCUGGUCGGACAUCAGGAGGUUAGUGCAAUGGCAUAAGCUAGCUUGACUGCGAGAGUGACGGCUCGAGCAGGUGCGAAAGCAGGUCAUAGUGAUCCGGUGGUUCUGAAUGGAAGGGCCAUCGCUCAACGGAUAAAAGGUACUCCGGGGAUAACAGGCUGAUACCGCCCAAGAGUUCAUAUCGACGGCGGUGUUUGGCACCUCGAUGUCGGCUCAUCACAUCCUGGGGCUGAAGUAGGUCCCAAGGGUAUGGCUGUUCGCCAUUUAAAGUGGUACGCGAGCUGGGUUUAGAACGUCGUGAGACAGUUCGGUCCCUAUCUGCCGUGGGCGCUGGAGAAUUGAGGGGGGCUGCUCCUAGUACGAGAGGACCGGAGUGGACGCAUCACUGGUGUUCGGGUUGUCAUGCCAAUGGCACUGCCCGGUAGCUAAAUGCGGAAGAGAUAAGUGCUGAAAGCAUCUAAGCACGAAACUUGCCCCGAGAUGAGUUCUCCCUGAGACUUUAAGUCUCCUGAAGGAACGUUGAAGACUACGACGUUGAUAGGUCGGGUGUGUAAGCGCAGCGAUGCGUUGAGCUAACCGAUACUAAUGAACCGUGAGGCUUAACCUUACAACGCCGAAG
RNAcentral lists this ribosomal RNA (2928 nucleotides) under Enterobacter ludwigii. RNAcentral describes it as "bacterial LSU rRNA". It matches the Rfam family "Bacterial large subunit ribosomal RNA". The record is from RNAcentral. Lineage: Bacteria; Pseudomonadati; Pseudomonadota; Gammaproteobacteria; Enterobacterales; Enterobacteriaceae.